Stegostoma tigrinum is the source of this 749-nucleotide long non-coding RNA. RefSeq lists it as uncharacterized. The transcript has 5 exons. The record is from RefSeq and is a predicted model, not a curated record. Lineage: Eukaryota; Metazoa; Chordata; Chondrichthyes; Orectolobiformes; Stegostomatidae.
CAAUUUCACUAUUUCGUUUGUAUCUCGAAGAUCAACAAUCGCAUGCUGGGAAGUUUAGUCAGGUUGCCACUGACUGCGACGACAAUAACAAAAACACAGCCAUCACUGGAUUAGGUUGCAGAUUGGUAAUUAACUCUAGCAAUCAACAAUCUUUUGUACGUUCUUUAAUUGACACAAAACAAAGGGAGGUCAUCAGUUCCUCUGGGCCCAGGCUCAAACCAAUCCGAGAAUCUCCAUCAAGCCGUUUUAUGGAAGCCUAAAUCUGAAACAUCGGAAAUGAUCGGAAGAAUGAGUAAACUGGGCAAGUUUACUUGAACCAACACCUUUUACGUUCCUGGACGCUCAUGCUAACGACAGGAGCAGCCUCGAGCCGCUUCCCCGUUGUAUCUGCCUUUUACAAAACAUCACGUCUUUUGGAAGAAACCUCACGUGAACUCAAAGGUAGAGUUCCCACGUGUGUUGGAGCGAAUCAAACAACCGUCACUGGUAGAUUGAGCAGAUCCGCAGGAUGGAAGAUCGUCACAUGUCUGGGACCUUCUGCAUAGGGAAGUAGCAAGAGCCAGUGGGAUUUGCUACAUCUCUGAGGAUCAAGAGGACAAUAAUGGCUGAAGAAAUAGCGAGUGAAGUCCCCAGAGCUGAGCCACCAACUAUUUCAGCUUCGAAUUUUCUUGUAAACCUAUGCAGAAUACUCUUUGUUAGAACAUUCGUGAGUUGGAACACUUUGCACAUAAUUGUUUCCAGUCAUUAAA